Molecule: ribosomal RNA, 466 nt
Filed under: uncultured bacterium
Lineage: Bacteria
Description: partial 16S ribosomal RNA
Rfam family: Bacterial small subunit ribosomal RNA
Source: RNAcentral
GAUGAACGCUGGCGGCGUGCUUAACACAUGCAAGUCGAACGGAAAGGCUCCUGCUUGCAGGGGUACUCGAGUGGCGAACGGGUGAGUAACACGUGGGUGAUCUGCCCUGCACUUCGGGAUAAGCUUGGGGAACUGGGUCUAAUACCGGAUAGGACCGCAUUUUGGAUGGUGUGGUGGAAAGUUUUUUCGGUGUGGGAUGAGCUCGCGGCCUAUCAGCUUGUUGGUGGGGUAAUGGCCUACCAAGGCGUCGACGGGUAGCCGGCCUGAGAGGGUGUACGGCCACAUUGGGACUGAGAUACGGCCCAGACUCCUACGGGAGGCAGCAGUGGGGAAUAUUGCACAAUGGGCGCAAGCCUGAUGCAGCGACGCCGCGUGGGGGAUGACGGCCUUCGGGUUGUAAACUCCUUUCGCUAGGGACGAAGAGUAAUUGACGGUACCUGGAGAAGAAGCACCGGCUAACUACGUG